RNAcentral lists this ribosomal RNA (616 nucleotides) under uncultured Actinomycetes bacterium. RNAcentral's name for it is "bacterial SSU rRNA". It matches the Rfam family "Bacterial small subunit ribosomal RNA", at positions 557 to 1174 of the family's 1533-position model. The record is from RNAcentral. Lineage: Bacteria; Bacillati; Actinomycetota; Actinomycetes.
GGCGUAAAGAGCUUGUAGGCGGCUUGUCGCGUCUGCUGUGAAAGCCCGGGGCUUAACCCCGGGUCUGCAGUGGGUACGGGCAGGCUAGAGUGUGGUAGGGGAGACUGGAAUUCCUGGUGUAGCGGGGGAAUGCGCAGAUAUCAGGAGGAACACCGAUGGCGAAGGCAGGUCUCUGGGCCAUUACUGACGCUGAGAAGCGAAAGCGUGGGGAGCGAACAGGAUUAGAUACCCUGGUAGUCCACGCCGUAAACGUUGGGCGCUAGGUGUGGGUCCCAUUCCACGGGGUCCGUGCCGCAGCUAACGCAUUAAGCGCCCCGCCUGGGGAGUACGGCCGCAAGGCUAAAACUCAAAGGAAUUGACGGGGGCCCGCACAAGCGGCGGAGCAUGCGGAUUAAUUCGAUGCAACGCGAAGAACCUUACCAAGGCUUGACAUGUACCGGAAACCCUCGGAGACGGGGGCCCCGCAAGGCUGGUACACAGGUGGUGCAUGGUUGUCGUCAGCUCGUGUCGUGAGAUGUUGGGUUAAGUCCCGCAACGAGCGCAACCCUCGUUCUAUGUUGCCAGCGGUUCGGCCGGGGACUCAUAGGAGACUGCCGGGGUCAACUCGGAGGAAGGU